This 2322-nucleotide ribosomal RNA is filed under the name Escherichia coli. Its description in RNAcentral is "partial 23S ribosomal RNA". It matches the Rfam family "Bacterial large subunit ribosomal RNA", at positions 614 to 2915 of the family's 2925-position model. The record is from RNAcentral. Lineage: Bacteria; Pseudomonadati; Pseudomonadota; Gammaproteobacteria; Enterobacterales; Enterobacteriaceae.
AAUGGGUCAGCGACUUAUAUUCUGUAGCAAGGUUAACCGAAUAGGGGAGCCGAAGGGAAACCGAGUCUUAACUGGGCGUUAAGUUGCAGGGUAUAGACCCGAAACCCGGUGAUCUAGCCAUGGGCAGGUUGAAGGUUGGGUAACACUAACUGGAGGACCGAACCGACUAAUGUUGAAAAAUUAGCGGAUGACUUGUGGCUGGGGGUGAAAGGCCAAUCAAACCGGGAGAUAGCUGGUUCUCCCCGAAAGCUAUUUAGGUAGCGCCUCGUGAAUUCAUCUCCGGGGGUAGAGCACUGUUUCGGCAAGGGGGUCAUCCCGACUUACCAACCCGAUGCAAACUGCGAAUACCGGAGAAUGUUAUCACGGGAGACACACGGCGGGUGCUAACGUCCGUCGUGAAGAGGGAAACAACCCAGACCGCCAGCUAAGGUCCCAAAGUCAUGGUUAAGUGGGAAACGAUGUGGGAAGGCCCAGACAGCCAGGAUGUUGGCUUAGAAGCAGCCAUCAUUUAAAGAAAGCGUAAUAGCUCACUGGUCGAGUCGGCCUGCGCGGAAGAUGUAACGGGGCUAAACCAUGCACCGAAGCUGCGGCAGCGACGCUUAUGCGUUGUUGGGUAGGGGAGCGUUCUGUAAGCCUGUGAAGGUGUGCUGUGAGGCAUGCUGGAGGUAUCAGAAGUGCGAAUGCUGACAUAAGUAACGAUAAAGCGGGUGAAAAGCCCGCUCGCCGGAAGACCAAGGGUUCCUGUCCAACGUUAAUCGGGGCAGGGUGAGUCGACCCCUAAGGCGAGGCCGAAAGGCGUAGUCGAUGGGAAACAGGUUAAUAUUCCUGUACUUGGUGUUACUGCGAAGGGGGGACGGAGAAGGCUAUGUUGGCCGGGCGACGGUUGUCCCGGUUUAAGCGUGUAGGCUGGUUUUCCAGGCAAAUCCGGAAAAUCAAGGCUGAGGCGUGAUGACGAGGCACUACGGUGCUGAAGCAACAAAUGCCCUGCUUCCAGGAAAAGCCUCUAAGCAUCAGGUAACAUCAAAUCGUACCCCAAACCGACACAGGUGGUCAGGUAGAGAAUACCAAGGCGCUUGAGAGAACUCGGGUGAAGGAACUAGGCAAAAUGGUGCCGUAACUUCGGGAGAAGGCACGCUGAUAUGUAGGUGAAGCGACUUGCUCGUGGAGCUGAAAUCAGUCGAAGAUACCAGCUGGCUGCAACUGUUUAUUAAAAACACAGCACUGUGCAAACACGAAAGUGGACGUAUACGGUGUGACGCCUGCCCGGUGCCGGAAGGUUAAUUGAUGGGGUCAGCGCAAGCGAAGCUCUUGAUCGAAGCCCCGGUAAACGGCGGCCGUAACUAUAACGGUCCUAAGGUAGCGAAAUUCCUUGUCGGGUAAGUUCCGACCUGCACGAAUGGCGUAAUGAUGGCCAGGCUGUCUCCACCCGAGACUCAGUGAAAUUGAACUCGCUGUGAAGAUGCAGUGUACCCGCGGCAAGACGGAAAGACCCCGUGAACCUUUACUAUAGCUUGACACUGAACAUUGAGCCUUGAUGUGUAGGAUAGGUGGGAGGCUUAGAAGUGUGGACGCCAGUCUGCAUGGAGCCGACCUUGAAAUACCACCCUUUAAUGUUUGAUGUUCUAACGUUGACCCGUAAUCCGGGUUGCGGACAGUGUCUGGUGGGUAGUUUGACUGGGGCGGUCUCCUCCUAAAGAGUAACGGAGGAGCACGAAGGUUGGCUAAUCCUGGUCGGACAUCAGGAGGUUAGUGCAAUGGCAUAAGCCAGCUUGACUGCGAGCGUGACGGCGCGAGCAGGUGCGAAAGCAGGUCAUAGUGAUCCGGUGGUUCUGAAUGGAAGGGCCAUCGCUCAACGGAUAAAAGGUACUCCGGGGAUAACAGGCUGAUACCGCCCAAGAGUUCAUAUCGACGGCGGUGUUUGGCACCUCGAUGUCGGCUCAUCACAUCCUGGGGCUGAAGUAGGUCCCAAGGGUAUGGCUGUUCGCCAUUUAAAGUGGUACGCGAGCUGGGUUUAGAACGUCGUGAGACAGUUCGGUCCCUAUCUGCCGUGGGCGCUGGAGAACUGAGGGGGGCUGCUCCUAGUACGAGAGGACCGGAGUGGACGCAUCACUGGUGUUCGGGUUGUCAUGCCAAUGGCACUGCCCGGUAGCUAAAUGCGGAAGAGAUAAGUGCUGAAAGCAUCUAAGCACGAAACUUGCCCCGAGAUGAGUUCUCCCUGACCCUUUAAGGGUCCUGAAGGAACGUUGAAGACGACGACGUUGAUAGGCCGGGUGUGUAAGCGCAGCGAUGCGUUGAGCUAACCGGUACUAAUGAACCGUGAGG